UACAUUACCUGGGAGGGGAGAUAGCAUGCUCAUGAAGGUGGUUUACCCAGAGCAAGGCUAAUGCAUUGCACGACAGAUUUGCUGGCCACUGCGAUUUACCCAAAUGCGGGAAAUUCCACUGCAUAAUUUGUAGUAGUGAGGGACUGUGUUCAUGCUCUCCUCUA
Small nuclear RNA from Perognathus longimembris pacificus (Pacific pocket mouse), 164 nucleotides. RefSeq annotates it as U1 spliceosomal RNA. The transcript has a single exon. The record is from RefSeq and is a predicted model, not a curated record. NCBI's taxonomy places the organism in Eukaryota, Metazoa, Chordata, Mammalia, Rodentia, Heteromyidae.